AUCUUAUCACACACAAACACAGAGACACACACACCACGUCCCUCAAACCACGAAACACACUUAUAGACACAAACAGCUCCCACGCCUACAGGAAUGGCCGAGGCGCUACCGGAGGAGGCGUGGGCGGAGGAGAGGUGUGUGGGCGUGGGUGACAGGCAUGGGCAGGAGGAGGAGCCCUUGGAAGCUGCAGUAAUCUGUCCAAUUUGUCUGAAGGAAUAUGAUGCAGAGUUUAGAAGGCCUCUAUUACUCUCCUCCUGCGGUCACACCUUCUGCAGAAGCUGUGUUAAGAACCUGGUGUGCGACAAGGCUACUAUUGUGUGCCCCUGCUGCAGACAUGAAUACAAAGACGCCGAGGUUGACAACUUUCCAGUCAACUUCAGUAUCCAGAUUUUGGCUUCCAGCACCAAGAAUCAACAGAAAAUGAAGCUACCGUCAGCCCACGAGUGCCAGGACCAUGGGGUACGUGUGGCCUUCUGGUGCCGCUCCUGCGAGGUGCCAGCCUGCGGGGAGUGCCUCUUUGAUGGCCACCCGCGCCCCACUCACGCCAUCUGCAAAAUUAAUGAUGUUAUAAAGGAGGUAAAAACACGCGCUGAGGAACUAGUGAAGGAAAGCAGGGAGGAGACAGCAGGCCUUCUUGGGGACCUCCUGUCUCGUGUAGUGCGUGGGAUAUCUGACCUACAGGAGGCUGGGCACAUCCUACAGGAGUCUGGGCGGCUGCGAAGGAUUGCGCAGGAUAGCAAGACCCUCUCCUCCAUAACAAGAGCUUUUGAGAGUGCAAAGAGCGUGAAGCAGCGUGUUCAAGCUUUGAGGAACUGUGAGGAAGCCGAUACACGACUGGAGGAAAGGCCGGUGGUCGUCGCCUUAAGUGAAACAGGAGGGCUCUCGAAAGUGAAGGUCGAGGAAAAGGGCAUUCAUAUAUACAGCCUGCGACCUUCCUCUACUGCUUACACUGUCGCUAUUAAGAUGUCGGUCCUCCUCGAGUGUGUGAGUAAGGACCACCCCGAAGUCUUCCUGGAUCUGAGGGCCGGGGAAAGACCACUAGGAAGGGUGUACAUCACGCUAUGGGGACACAUGAGGCGCGCGCAACAGUUCAUGGCCCUCUGUUUGGGAACUUACGGCCGUCCUAUAGGAAUACAAUAUGGGCGAAGAAAAUGGAAGCAGGGCAAGUGUGUGGAGUGGGAGGCGACGAUGAGAGGAAAUUCGGGGCUUUGUUUGCAAUUUGCCUGCGUGAAAACCCUGACAGUUUCUUCAGAGCCCCGUUUGGAAUGGUGACAAGUGGCCUGGAAGUGUUAGAAGUGGCGUGCAGACAUCAGCCCUUUAAUCUAGUGAGGGUGUCUGAUUGUGGCGUGUGUGUGUGAGAAUGUGUGUGUGUGUGUGUGUGUGUGUGUGUGUUUUGGG
RNAcentral lists this unclassified non-coding RNA (1398 nucleotides) under Portunus trituberculatus (swimming crab). RNAcentral's name for it is "e3 ubiquitin-protein ligase TRIM32-like, transcript variant X2". Lineage: Eukaryota; Metazoa; Arthropoda; Malacostraca; Decapoda; Portunidae. The record is from RNAcentral.